RNAcentral lists this ribosomal RNA (253 nucleotides) under uncultured bacterium. Its description in RNAcentral is "partial 16S ribosomal RNA". It matches the Rfam family "Bacterial small subunit ribosomal RNA", at positions 524 to 776 of the family's 1533-position model. The record is from RNAcentral.
UACAGAGGUCUCAAGCGUUGUUCGGAUUCAUUGGGCGUAAAGCGCGCGUAGGCGGCCCGGUAAGUCCGCUGUGAAAGUCAAAGGCUCAACCUUUGAAUGUCAGCGGAUACUGCCGGGCUAGAGUCCGGAAGAGGCGAGUGGAACUCCUGGUGUAGCGGUGGAAUGCGCAGAUAUCAGGAAGAACACCAACGGCGAAGGCAGCUCGCUGGGACGGAACUGACGCUGAGGCGCGAAAGCGUGGGGAGCGAACAGG